RNAcentral lists this ribosomal RNA (110 nucleotides) under Paludibacteraceae bacterium. The record is from RNAcentral. Lineage: Bacteria; Pseudomonadati; Bacteroidota; Bacteroidia; Bacteroidales; Paludibacteraceae.
UCAGGUGGCUAUUGCGGCGGGGUCCCACCUCUUCCCAUUCCGAACAGAGAAGUUAAGCCCGCCGGCGCCGAUGGUACUGCGUAUAGUGGGAGAGUAGGUCGCCGCCGUCU